This 671-nucleotide ribosomal RNA is filed under the name uncultured bacterium. Its description in RNAcentral is "bacterial SSU rRNA". It matches the Rfam family "Bacterial small subunit ribosomal RNA", at positions 56 to 705 of the family's 1533-position model. The record is from RNAcentral.
UGCAGUCGAACGCGAAAGCCCCGCAAGGGGUGAGUAGAGUGGCAAACGGGUGAGUAACACGUGGGUGACCUGCCUUCGAGCGGGGGAUAACGUCCCGAAAGGGACGCUAAUACCGCAUAACAUCCUGCCUUUGAAGGGGUGGAGAUCAAAGCCGGGGAUCCGCAAGGACCUGGCACUUGAAGAGGGGCCCGCGUCUGAUUAGCUAGUUGGUGAGGUAAUGGCUCACCAAGGCAACGAUCAGUAUCCGGCCUGAGAGGGCGGACGGACACACUGGGACUGAGACACGGCCCAGACUCCUACGGGAGGCAGCAGUGGGGAAUUGUUCGCAAUGGGCGCAAGCCUGACGACGCAACGCCGCGUGGAGGAUGAAGACCUUCGGGUCGUAAACUCCUUUCGAUCGAGACGAAUGGCCUUCGGGUGAACAAUCCGGAGGAAUGACGGUACCGAGAGAAGAAGCCCCGGCUAACUCCGUGCCAGCAGCCGCGGUAAUACGGGGGGGGCAAGCGUUGUUCGGAAUUACUGGGCGUAAAGGGCUCGUAGGUGGCCAACUAAGUCAGACGUGAAAUCCCUCAGCUUAACUGGGGAACUGCGUCUGAUACUGGAUGGCUUGAGUUUGGGAGAGGGAUGCGGAAUUCCAGGUGUAGCGGUGAAAUGCGUAGAUAUCUGGAGGA